CUAGUGACUGAGUUUCUAAGUCAGGUUUUGGUUCUCUGACCUGGCUGCUUACCUGUCUAUGCUCUGGAGUUUCCUCUGUGACUGUCCCUGUCAUCAGAACUUGCCUCUAAAGAGGCAAUAAGAGUAUCUGCUGUGAGACAGGCUCUGUAGGGGACAGCAGUGGGCAAAGCAAACACGAGAUUCCUUCGUUCACCAACUAAUGAUGCGCAGAGAGAACGUGCUUCGGAACCUAUCGGACAAAGCCUUUGACCGGCCCAUCUGCGAGGCCUUGUUGGACCAGAGGUUCUUCAAUGGAAUCGGCAACUAUCUGCGGGCAGAGAUCUUGUAUCGGCUGAAGAUCCCCCCUUUUGAGAAGGCCCGUACAGUUCUAGAG
RNAcentral lists this long non-coding RNA (373 nucleotides) under Rattus norvegicus (Norway rat). Its description in RNAcentral is "long non-coding RNA NONRATT028610". Lineage: Eukaryota; Metazoa; Chordata; Mammalia; Rodentia; Muridae. The record is from RNAcentral.